Molecule: non-coding RNA, 205 nt
Organism: Caenorhabditis elegans
Lineage: Eukaryota; Metazoa; Nematoda; Chromadorea; Rhabditida; Rhabditidae
Source: Ensembl
GUAAGAAUGUAUCGGUGUGGUUGAAUGUAUGUAUGCGCUUGUCGGUCGCAACGAAUCUUUCUAAUGAUACGGGGGCGGAGUCAUGAAGGACGCGCGGGUUGGUUGGUGGCUAACCCCCCAUCCACUGAAACCACGCCCACAUCGGAAAGGAAGAUGCGGGUAACGGGAGACGAUACUGCUGGGGCGUGCUUGUCCCUUGGGUAGU